GGCACCUGACUUCAACAAAUUUGAAAAUAAAAUCCUAUUUGAGGGCGGAUGAACCUAAAAUAUCCUAUUUUGAGGGCGGAUGAACCCAACAUAUCCUAUUUGAGGGCGGAUGAACCCAACAUAUCCUAUUUGAGGGCGGAUGAACCCAACAUAUCCUAUUUGAGGGCGAUGAACCCAACUAGGAAGUGCGUCUCCUACGAGUAAAACUAUGUGAACCAAAAUCAGGAAGUGUGUCUUCUAGUGGUAAACUCUCAUUUUUAGGAAGUGCGUCUCCUAAAGCAAAAUACAACCUGAACGACCCAGACUACGAAAUGCAUUUUCUAGGGGUGAAACUUCAAUGAUUCAAACUAGGAAGUGCGUCUCCU
RNAcentral lists this long non-coding RNA (365 nucleotides) under Nicotiana tabacum (common tobacco). Its description in RNAcentral is "long non-coding RNA (NTAB_LNC013873)". The record is from RNAcentral. Lineage: Eukaryota; Viridiplantae; Streptophyta; Magnoliopsida; Solanales; Solanaceae.